This 625-nucleotide ribosomal RNA is filed under the name Scytonema sp. R19. RNAcentral describes it as "bacterial SSU rRNA". It matches the Rfam family "Bacterial small subunit ribosomal RNA", at positions 137 to 796 of the family's 1533-position model. The record is from RNAcentral. Lineage: Bacteria; Bacillati; Cyanobacteriota; Cyanophyceae; Nostocales; Scytonemataceae.
UCUGGGACAACCACUGGGAAACGGUGGCUAAUACCGGGUGUGCCGAAAGGUGAAAGGUUAACUGCCUGGAGAUGAGCUCGCGUCUGAUUAGCUAGUUGGUAGGGUAAAAGCUUACCAAGGCGACGAUCAGUAGCUGGUCUGAGAGGACGAUCAGCCACACUGGGACUGAGACACGGCCCAGACUCCUACGGGAGGCAGCAGUGGGGAAUUUUCCGCAAUGGGGAAAGCCUGACGGAGCAAUACCGCGUGAGGGAGGAAGGCUCUUGGGUUGUAAACCUCUUUUCUCAGGGAAGAAAAAUGACGGUACUUGAGGAAUAAGCAUCGGCUAACUCCGUGCCAGCAGCCGCGGUAAUACGGAGGAUGCAAGCGUUAUCCGGAAUGAUUGGGCGUAAAGCGUUCGCAGGUGGCAUUGAAAGUCUGCUGUCAAAGAGUCUGGCUCAACCAGAUACAGGCAGUGGAAACUUCAAAGCUAGAGUGCGGUAGGGGCAGAGGGAAUUCCUGGUGUAGCGGUGAAAUGCGUAGAGUUCAGGAAGAACACCGGUGGCGAAAGCGCUCUGCUAGACCGCAACUGACACUGAGGGACGAAAGCUAGGGGAGCGAAAGGGAUUAGAUACCCCAGUAGUCA